UCUCGUGGCAGGAAGUCAUGGCGGCCUCAGGCCCGUCCGAGCUAUUCCGGCAACCUCGGACCUUUGGCGGCGGCCUUUGUUCGGCAUCUGCAGAGACGGUGAGAAGCCGACGUGCACGUUGAAGCUUAAAACUAGCGCAUGGAACCCUGAAUUGAGUCGCAUGGAUGCAGAUUAAAGAUGUUGGCUGUGGACUUGGAAAAAAGUCACAUGAAAACCAUCAUCCAAAGAUAUUGAGUGUAAGGAUCUUCGUGAUGAAAUUUCUAUAAAUGGUAGUCUCAGCCUCAGUUUGAGGCCGAAAAGGAUGCUCCAGAACAAGACACUAACUAGCAGCAGUGCCGUUUCAGCUGCCCUGGACCCGAGGCGGAAUUUCUCUCGUGUGUCUGCAGUGAGUGAGACAGAAUUGAACUGCUUUGCCUGAAGAAGUGAAAUGAUGAUUCUUCUCCUGUUGUUUGUAAGCUUUCUCUUUCCAUGUUAACAUGUCCCAAAGAAGCCCCACAAGCCUAUGAUGGUUAGUUAUCCCUGUCUGAAAAUCUCAACUGAGGGAAAACAAUCUGUUCUGAGGCUUAAGGGGCUGGCCCUGUGCUCUUAAAAGAAGUUCAGGCUCUAUAAGGGAUCGAAUUGAAUGGACUCCAAAGGGAAUUGUGCACACCCUGCCAAGACCCCAGUCCUAAUGCAUCAUCCCUCUGCAGCUUGAAAACCAGUGGUGUGGCUGCCCUGUCACACUUUAGGCCCCUUGAUUAAUGGCUCUGAGGGCACAGGCUAUAAGAGGUGGCAGAAAUGGGCAAGUGGCCCAGAUUUGAUUUGUACACUUACUGUAGAAUGAAAGAGUGCUUGUCACAUAUUUCAAAAAAAUGAAUGUGCUGUUUGAAACAGACGGGAAUGGCAGAUGUAUGCCAGCUGUGGCAGUGAGAACACUUCAGGACUGUCUGACCUCUUGCCCUUGCACCAUAUCCUGACAUCCAGGAAAGACAGGGUACAGUGGCACUAGCAGAGCGAUUUGGUUUCCAGGUGCUUUGUUAACACCAGGGAGCUCUGCUGGUGUUAGCUGAGCUCUGUCUGAAUGGCAUGGCUGGCAUGUGAGCAAGAGAGUAGCAGAGUGGAGCUGAGCUUUGUUCCCAUUUAAAUGCCAGGCUUGAACUGGACACAGAUUGCCUUUUCUGUUGAAGUUGGGAGGUGUGUGCAACUUUUUAUACAUAAGGUCACAUAUUUGUUCGGUCACCAAGGAAGCUAUAUUUGGAGUGAGAUUUAAAGAGCCUGAAAACCGGUCCAAGCAGCUUAUAGCUGGAAGUAAAACAAAGCGAAAGGACGUGUUAGCAAGUGGGAAAGUCUACCUGCUGGGUUAUAGUCUGCUUCUGAGUGGACUUGACUGCUCUGUGGGACCCAAGUGAACCUGUAGGUUGGUUUCUGUUUUUGUUUUUUUUUAAGCUGCACCGUAUGGCUUGUGGGAUCUUAGUUCUUCAACCAGGGAUUGAACCCUGGCCCUUGGCAGUGAGAGUGAUGAGUCCUAACCACUGGACUGCCAGGGAAUUCCCGAACCUGUAGGUUUGACUCCAGACGGGGGUUGAAUAUGAAUGUUGCCAGCACUUAAUGGCUGCUCUUUACUGGUACUGGCCACUUGCCAGAUCUGCUUCCUCAGAGCACAGUCUCCCGAAAAGGAGAGUCAUCUGGGACCAACCAGGCUGCACUGAAUUGAUCUGGUUGUGCCUUCCACACACACGCACACGCAUAAUGGUUGAUUGCUUAGAAUGAGUUCCUCUAGGAUUACCAUUUUUUAAAUUUUCUUUAAAUUUAACCUUAGUUUUGAGUCUCUUAGUUGGCUGCCACAUCAAAUGAUUCUUUGGGGGUUUUUUUUGUGUGGUACGCAGGCCUCUCAGUGUUGUGGCCUCUCCCGUUGCGGAGCACAGGCUCCGGACGCGCAGGCUCAGCGGCCAUGGCUCACGGGCCCAGCUGCUCCGUGGCAUGUGGGAUCUUCCCGGACCGGGGCACGAGCCCGCGUCCCCUGCGUCGUCAGGCGGACUCUCAACCACUGCGCCACCAGGAAGCCCGAUUCUUUGGUUUUAUAGGUUGCCUCCCAGUGAUGCCAGAAGGGAUCAGCAGAGCCCCAGGUGCUAGUUGCUAAUGCCUAUAAAAUACCACCCUCCCCCCUGCAAAGGAGAAUCAUUUAAGAGUUCUUUGGACUUCAAAGUAGCCAAAGAAUUCAAGUGACAGGGUAUCCCAGAAAAUCUUUUGCAGUUAGUGAAAUUAGGGUAUAACUAAGAACAUUCAGAAUACUACACACAUAGUAUAGGUGAUCUUGGUAUAGUGGUGGGACAGCAGUGAUUAUGAAAUGAAAGUCAUUAACAUGUGCAUGCUGUGUGGGGGGAGGCCAAAAGGAAAGAGGUGUUCAGCCUAGAAAAACAUUUCUCGGUGGAUUUCCUCUGAAGUCAGUGUGUCUUGGGUUUAACUUUGAAACAAAUUAAAAAAUUUUAAAACUGA
Molecule: long non-coding RNA, 2475 nt
Organism: Mesoplodon densirostris (Blainville's beaked whale)
Lineage: Eukaryota; Metazoa; Chordata; Mammalia; Artiodactyla; Ziphiidae
Exons: 2
Source: RefSeq, a predicted model, not a curated record